This 253-nucleotide ribosomal RNA is filed under the name uncultured bacterium. Its description in RNAcentral is "partial 16S ribosomal RNA". It matches the Rfam family "Bacterial small subunit ribosomal RNA", at positions 524 to 776 of the family's 1533-position model. The record is from RNAcentral.
UACGUAGGAGGCAAGCGUUGUCCGGAAUCAUUGGGCGUAAAGCGCGCGUAGGCGGCCCUGUAAGUCCGUUGUGAAAGUCAAAGGCUCAACCUUUGAAAGCCGAUGGAUACUGCAGGGCUAGAGUCCGGAAGAGGCGAGUGGAAUUCCUGGUGUAGCGGUGGAAUGCGCAGAUAUCAGGAGGAACACCAAUAGCGAAGGCAGCUCGCUGGGACGGUACUGACGCUAAGGCGCGAAAGCGUGGGGAGCGAACAGG